AUAUUUUUUGUUUUAUUUUAUUUUAUUUUAUUUUAUUUUUGUGAUAAAUUAAAUAUCCUACAAAAAAGACAUAUUUUUUAUUUUUUAUGUUAAUAAUCAAACUUAAAUAAUCUAAAAAAACCUAAUGAGAAUCAAACUAAAUUUAAAUAUAAGAAAAUUGAGAUUUUUUAUAUUUAUUUGACAAUAUUAAACAAUUACUUAAUUUAUAAAAAUACGAAUUAAUUAAU
This 227-nucleotide long non-coding RNA is filed under the name Lathyrus oleraceus (garden pea). RNAcentral's name for it is "Pisum sativum (pea) long non-coding RNA (PSAT_LNC023235)". The record is from RNAcentral. Lineage: Eukaryota; Viridiplantae; Streptophyta; Magnoliopsida; Fabales; Fabaceae.